GACGAACGCUGGCGGCGUGCUUAACACAUGCAAGUCGAGCGGUAAGGCCCCUUCGGGGGUACACGAGCGGCGAACGGGUGAGUAACACGUGAGCAAUCUGCCCUUCACACGGGGAUAACCACCGGAAACGGUGGCUAAUACCCGAUACGACCACUUCAGGCAUCUGAUGGUGGUGGAAAGUUCCGGCGGUGGAGGAUGAGCUCGCGGCCUAUCAGCUUGUUGGUGGGGUAAUGGCCUACCAAGGCAACGACGGGUAGCCGGCCUGAGAGGGUGACCGGCCACACUGGGACUGAGACACGGCCCAGACUCCUACGGGGGGCAGCAGUGGGGAAUAUUGGACAAUGGGCGAAAGCCUGAUCCAGCAACGCCGCGUGAGGGAUGACGGCCUUCGGGUUGUAAACCUCUUUCAGCAGGGACGAAGCGCAAGUGACGGUACCUGCAGAAGAAGCACCGGCCAACUACGUGCCAGCAGCCGCGGUAAUACGUAGGGUGCGAGCGUUGUCCGGAAUUAUUGGGCGUAAAGGGCUCGUAGGCGGUUUGUCGCGUCGGGAGUGAAAACUCAGGGCUUAACCCUGAGCCUGCUUCCGAUACGGGCAGACUAGAGGUAUGCAGGGGAGAACGGAAUUCCUGGUGUAGCGGUGAAAUGCGCAGAUAUCAGGAGGAACACCGGUGGCGAAGGCGGUUCUCUGGGCAUUACCUGACGCUGAGGAGCGAAAGUGUGGGGAGCGAACAGG
This 734-nucleotide ribosomal RNA is filed under the name uncultured Actinomycetes bacterium. Its description in RNAcentral is "bacterial SSU rRNA". It matches the Rfam family "Bacterial small subunit ribosomal RNA", at positions 28 to 776 of the family's 1533-position model. Lineage: Bacteria; Bacillati; Actinomycetota; Actinomycetes. The record is from RNAcentral.